RNAcentral lists this unclassified non-coding RNA (343 nucleotides) under soil metagenome. RNAcentral describes it as "partial contains 5.8S ribosomal RNA, internal transcribed spacer 2, and large subunit ribosomal RNA". The stretch from base 1 to 120 matches the Rfam family "5.8S ribosomal RNA", at positions 35 to 154 of the family's 154-position model. The record is from RNAcentral.
GAUGAAGAACGCAGCGAAAUGCGAUAAGUAAUGUGAAUUGCAGAAUUCAGUGAAUCAUCGAAUCUUUGAACGCACAUUGCGCCCGCCAGCAUUCUGGCGGGCAUGCCUGUUCGAGCGUCAUUUCAACCCUCGAGCCCCCCCGGGGGCCUCGGUGUUGGGGGACGGCACACCAGCCGCCCCCGAAAUGCAGUGGCGACCCCGCCGCAGCCUCCCCUGCGUAGUAGCACACACCUCGCACCGGAGCGCGGAGGCGGUCACGCCGUAAAACGCCCAACUUUCUUAGAGUUGACCUCGGAUCAGGUAGGAAUACCCGCUGAACUUAAGCAUAUCAAUAAGCGGAAGA